This 253-nucleotide ribosomal RNA is filed under the name uncultured bacterium. Its description in RNAcentral is "partial 16S ribosomal RNA". It matches the Rfam family "Bacterial small subunit ribosomal RNA", at positions 524 to 776 of the family's 1533-position model. The record is from RNAcentral.
UACGUAGGGUGCGAGCGUUGCCCGGAUUUAUUGGGCGUAAAGGGCGCGUAGGCGGCCACGCACGUCCGUUGUGAAAUCGCUCGGCUCAACUGGGCGGGGUCAGCGGAUACGGUGUGGCUAGAGCAAGCUAGGGGGCAAUGGAAUUCCCGGUGUAGUGGUGGAAUGCGUAGAUACCGGGAGGAACACCAGUGGCGAAGGCGGUUGCCUGGAGCUUUGCUGACGCUGAUGCGCGAAAGCGUGGGGAGCGAUCCGG